AAAUAACAAAAAAACACCUAAGAUAAAGAGUCGUUGUGCUCCGUCAUAUAGAAUAAUUAAGUGGACGGUGCAGAUUUUUCUUGCUAAGAGCAAAUACUUUAUUCUGUUUGUCGUAGACCCGGAGUCCGGAACAGAUGAUAGAAAAACACAUGCAUUAAAAAAAAGUCGAUAGAUGAGAGGAUACAUAGAAAUUCAAGAAAUAACGUCAAACAGACGAUCACGUAAUUAAUUAUUACAAAACGAACAUUCAUUAUAAAAAUGCAUAAUUAAGUAUUAAUAACUAAUGACCGUAUUUCUUAUUUUAUAAUGGUAUAAUAUGGGUAGGUGAGACGGGAGGGGACGAGAUCGAUGAUAGGACGGUGGUGGAGAUCAUGGGCGGCGGACAGCACGGUGAUUCCUUAGGUAGGUAUCUAAAUCUCCGAAAGGUUGGCUCAUAACAUUCUUGAGGUUGCUAAGGCUAGCAUUACCAUUGGCUCCAUCGUAAAUGAAUUCCCACUUAAUUGUGCAGCCAGCAUCUUUCAUGUUGCGGGCAGAUUUGACAACAGUUAACUUGAUAUCAAAAGUGUCAAACAAGGUGGGAAUGAAGGCCCCAUCAUCAGUAAAAGUUGAGUCAAUAGUUAACUUUUCGUGGUCAACGUCUAGGAUCUUCUCAGUAGCCGACCCGACAACACGAUUGAAAAC
Molecule: long non-coding RNA, 681 nt
Filed under: Linum usitatissimum (flax)
Lineage: Eukaryota; Viridiplantae; Streptophyta; Magnoliopsida; Malpighiales; Linaceae
Description: long non-coding RNA (LUSI_LNC002587)
Source: RNAcentral